UGAACUUUAAGUUAUAUAAACUAAAAGCCUUCAAAGCUUUAAAAAAGACCCUCUUAAGUUUAA
RNAcentral lists this transfer RNA (63 nucleotides) under Platorchestia sp. AKP-2018. RNAcentral's name for it is "tRNA-Trp". The record is from RNAcentral. Lineage: Eukaryota; Metazoa; Arthropoda; Malacostraca; Amphipoda; Talitridae.